ACGGCUUACCAAGGCGAUGAUGCAUAGCCGAGUUGAGAGACUGAUCGGCCACAAUGGAACUGAGACACGGUCCAUACUCCUACGGGAGGCAGCAGUAGGGAAUCUUCCACAAUGGGCGCAAGCCUGAUGGAGCAAGUGCGGGUGAGUGAAGAAGGGUUUCGGCUCGUAAAGCUCUGUUGUUGGAGUUGAACGUGCGUGAGAGUAACUGUUCACGCAGUGACGGUAUCCAACCAGAAAGUCACGGCUAACUACGUGCCAGCAGCCGCGGUAAUACGUAGGUGGCAAGCGUUAUCCGGAUUUAUUGGGCGUAAAGCGAGCGCAGGCGGUUGCUUAGGUCUGAUGUGAAAGCCUUCGGCUUAACCGAAGAAGUCCAUCGGAAACCGGGCGACUUGAGUGCAGAAGAGGACAGUGGAACUCCAUGUGUAGCGGUGGAAUGCGUAGAUAUAAGGAAGAACACCAGUGGCGAAGGCGGCUGUCUGGUCUGCAACUGACGCUGAGGCUCGAAAGCAUGGGUAGCGAACAGGAUUAGAUACCCUGGUAGUCCAUGCCGUAAACGAUGAGUGCUAGGUGUUGGAGGGUUUCCGCCCUUCAGUGCCGGUGCUAACGCAUUAAGCACUCCGCCUGGGGAGUACGACCGCAAGGUUGAAACUCAAAGGAAUUGACGGGGGGGGGCAGAAGCGGUGGAGCAUGUGGUUUAAUUCGAAGCUACGCGAAGAACCUUACCAGGUCUUGACAUCUUGCGCUAACCUUGAGAUAAGGCGUUCCCUUCGGGGACGCAAUGACAGGUGGUGCAUGGUCGUCGUCAGCUCGUGUCGUGAGAUGUUGGGUUAAGUCCCGCAACGAGCGCAACCCUUGUUACUAGUUGCCAGCAUUAAGUUCCCCUUUCUAGUGAGACUGCCGGUGACAAACCGGAGGAAGGUGGGGACGACGUCAGAUCAUCAUGCCCCUUAUGAC
RNAcentral lists this ribosomal RNA (954 nucleotides) under uncultured bacterium. RNAcentral describes it as "bacterial SSU rRNA". It matches the Rfam family "Bacterial small subunit ribosomal RNA", at positions 260 to 1208 of the family's 1533-position model. The record is from RNAcentral.